CAGUAGCGUAUAUUAAAGUUGUUGCAGUUAAAAAGCUCGUAGUUGGAUUUCUGGUACGCUGCGCCUGGCCCGCCCACGUUAGUGGUGUGAGUGUCGGUGCGCGGUUGCCAUCCUUCUAGAGAACGUGUCUACCUUUAAUUAGGCCGGGCUACGGGAUCUAGAUCUUUUUACUUUGAAAAAAUUAGAGUGUUCAAAGCAGGCUUUUUGCUGUGAAUACAUUAGCAUGGAAUAAUAAUCUAGGACUUCGGUUUUUAUUUUGUUGGUUUCUAAAAAUUGAAGUAAUGAUUGAUAGGGAUAGUUGGGGGGUGCUAGUAUUGGCCGGCCAGAGGUGAAAUUCUUGGAUUCGGUCAAGACUAACUUAUGCGAAAAGCAUUCACCAAGGAUGUCUUCUUUAAUCAAGAACGAAAGUUGGG
RNAcentral lists this ribosomal RNA (413 nucleotides) under uncultured eukaryote. RNAcentral describes it as "partial 18S ribosomal RNA". It matches the Rfam family "Eukaryotic small subunit ribosomal RNA", at positions 592 to 994 of the family's 1831-position model. The record is from RNAcentral.